AGUAGGGAAUAUUGCACAAUGGAGGAAACUCUGAUGCAGCGACGCCGCGUGAGUGAUGAAGGCCUUCGGGUUGUAAAACUCUGUGAUAAGGGAAGAUGAUGACGGUACCUUAUCAGAAAAGACCGGCUAACUUCGUGCCAGCAGCCGCGGUAAUACGAGGGGUCUAAGCGUUGUUCGGAAUCACUGGGCGUAAAGCGGGUGUAGGUGGCUAAGCCAGUCACAUGUGAAAGCCCCGGGCUCAACCCGGGAAGUGCAUGUGAUACUACUUAGCUUGAGUACGGGAGAGGGAAGCAGAAUUCCUGGUGUAGUGGUGAAAUACGUAGAUAUCAGGAGGAACACCGGUGGCGAAGGCGGUUUCCUGGCCCAGUACUGACACUCAGACCCGAAAGCGUGGGUAGCAAA
This 402-nucleotide ribosomal RNA is filed under the name uncultured Bdellovibrio sp. RNAcentral describes it as "bacterial SSU rRNA". It matches the Rfam family "Bacterial small subunit ribosomal RNA", at positions 353 to 772 of the family's 1533-position model. Lineage: Bacteria; Pseudomonadati; Bdellovibrionota; Bdellovibrionia; Bdellovibrionales; Pseudobdellovibrionaceae. The record is from RNAcentral.